GGAUCCAGACUUUGAAACGGGUCAGGAUUAACGCUGGCGGCGCACAUAAAGACAUGCAAGUCGAACGGAAGUCGUUAUAACUCAGAACGAAGAUUUAUCUGAGGGACGAGAUAUAACAAUGGCUUUAGUGGCGGACUGGUGAGUAACACGUAAGAAACCUGCCUAUUAGAGGGGAAUAACAACGAGAAAUCGUUGCUAAUACCGCAUAAGCUAGUAGUACCGCAUGGUACAGCUAGAAAAGGAGAAAUCCGCUAAUAGAUGGUCUUGCGUCCGAUUAGCUAGUUGGUGGGGUAACGGCCUACCAAGGCAACGAUCGGUAGCCGAGCUGAGAGGCUCAACGGCCACAUUGGGACUGAGAUACGGCCCAGACUCCUACGGGAGGCAGCAGUCGGGAAUAUUGCGCAAUGGAGGAAACUCUGACGCAGUGACGCCGCGUAUAGGAAGAAGGUUUUCGGAUUGUAAACUAUUUUAGACAGGGAAGAAAUUGACAGUACCUGUAGAAUAAGCUCCGGCUAACUACGUGCCAGCAGCCGCGGUAAUACGUAGGGAGCAAGCGUUAUCCGGAUUUAUUGGGUGUAAAGGGUGCGUAGACGGGAGAACAAGUUAGUUGUGAAAGCCCUCGGCUUAACUGAGGAACUGCAACUAAAACUAUUUUUCUUGAGUGCAGGAGAGGAAAGCGGAAUUCCUAGUGUAGCGGUGAAAUGCGUAGAUAUUAGGAGGAACACCAGUGGCGAAGGCGGCUUUCUGGACUGUAACUGACGUUGAGGCACGAAAGUGUGGGGAGCAAACAGGAUUAGAUACCCUGGUAGUCCACACCGUAAACGAUGGAUACUAGGUGUAGGAGAUGAUUUCAUCAUCUG
RNAcentral lists this ribosomal RNA (860 nucleotides) under uncultured bacterium. RNAcentral describes it as "bacterial SSU rRNA". It matches the Rfam family "Bacterial small subunit ribosomal RNA", at positions 1 to 843 of the family's 1533-position model. The record is from RNAcentral.